Molecule: unclassified non-coding RNA, 227 nt
Filed under: uncultured fungus
Lineage: Eukaryota; Fungi
Description: sequence contains ITS1, 5.8S rRNA gene
Rfam family: 5.8S ribosomal RNA (bases 179-227)
Source: RNAcentral
UCUCCGUAGGUGAACCUGCGGAGGGAUCAUUACUGAGUGAUGGCUUCGGUCCGACCUCCAACCCUUUGUGAACCAAACUUGUUGCUUCGGGGGCGACCCUGCCGCUUCGGCGGUGCGGCGCCCCCGGGGUCAAUCAAACACUGCAUUCUCUGCGUCGGAGUUAAAGUAAAUUAAACAAAACUUUCAACAACGGAUCUCUUGGUUCCAGCAUCGAUGAAGAACGCAGC